GCCCUUAGAGUUUGAUCAUGGCUCAGGAUGAACGCUAGCGGCAGGCUUAAUACAUGCAAGUCGAGGGGCAGCACGGGUAGCAAUACCUGGUGGCGACCGGCAAACGGGUGCGGAACACGUACAGAACCUUCCUUUAAGUGGGGCAUAGCCCGGAGAAAUCCGGAUUAAUACCCCGUAAUAUUAUGAUGUGGCAUCAUGUUAUAAUUAAAGAUUUAUCGCUUAGAGAUGGCUGUGCGGCUGAUUAGGUAGUUGGCGGGGUAACGGCCCACCAAGCCUUCGAUCAGUAACUGGUGUGAGAGCACGACCAGUCACACGGGCACUGAGACACGGGCCCGACUCCUACGGGAGGCAGCAGUAAGGAAUAUUGGUCAAUGGAGGCAACUCUGAACCAGCCAUGCCGCGUGAAGGAUGAAGGCCCUCUGGGUUGUAAACUUCUUUUAUAGGGGAAGAAACCCGGGAAUUCUUUUCCGGUUGCCGGAC
RNAcentral lists this ribosomal RNA (480 nucleotides) under uncultured copper smeltery bacterium D73. RNAcentral's name for it is "bacterial SSU rRNA". It matches the Rfam family "Bacterial small subunit ribosomal RNA", at positions 1 to 477 of the family's 1533-position model. The record is from RNAcentral.